ACAAACUUGGUCAUUUAGAGGAAGUAAAAGUCGUAACAAGGUUUCCGUAGGUGAACCUGCGGAAGGAUCAUUAAUGAGUCUUGAUGCGGGGUUGCAGCUGGCCUUCAUAGACAUGUGCUCGCCCUGUUCAAUCCACUCUACACCUGUGCACUUACUGUGGGUUGCCGGUUGACAGGCAAAGGAGGAGGAGUGUGUGUAUGUAAUAAUGCAUGCACAUGCCUAUCUCUCUGGAUCUGGCCUCACGUUUUUAUUACACACAAGUAUCAGAAUGUGUACUGCGAUGUUGUAACGCAUUUAUAUACAACUUUCAGCAACGGAUCUCUUGGCUCUCGCAUCGAUGAAGAACGCAGC
Molecule: unclassified non-coding RNA, 351 nt
Filed under: uncultured fungus
Lineage: Eukaryota; Fungi
Description: partial contains small subunit ribosomal RNA, internal transcribed spacer 1, and 5.8S ribosomal RNA
Rfam family: Eukaryotic small subunit ribosomal RNA (bases 1-73)
Source: RNAcentral